RNAcentral lists this RNase P RNA (234 nucleotides) under Frankiales bacterium. Its description in RNAcentral is "Bacterial RNase P class A". It matches the Rfam family "Bacterial RNase P class A", at positions 1 to 242 of the family's 367-position model. Rfam says of the family: Ribonuclease P (RNase P) is a ubiquitous endoribonuclease, found in archaea, bacteria and eukarya as well as chloroplasts and mitochondria. Its best characterised activity is the generation of mature 5'-ends of tRNAs by cleaving the 5'-leader elements of precursor-tRNAs. Cellular RNase Ps are ribonucleoproteins. The record is from Rfam by way of RNAcentral. Lineage: Bacteria; Bacillati; Actinomycetota; Actinomycetes; Frankiales.
CGAGUUGACCGGACGGUCGCGGCAGCAGCCAGCUGUCGAGGAAAGUCCGGGCUCCACAGGGCAGGGUGGUCGGUAACACCGACCCGGGGUGACCCGCGGGAAAGUGCCACAGAGAACAGACCGCCAGCGUCCGCGCUGGUAAGGGUGAAACGGUGGAGUAAGAGCCCACCAGCGCCCGGGGUGACCCGGGCGGCUCGGCAAACCCCACCCGGAGCAAGGUCAAGAGGGAGCCCU